AACGAACGCUGGCGGCAUGCCUAACACAUGCAAGUCGAACGAGACCUUCGGGUCUAGUGGCGCACGGGUGCGUAACGCGUGGGAACCUGCCCUUAGGUUCGGAAUAACUCCCCGAAAGGGGUGCUAAUACCGGAUAAUGUCUUCGGACCAAAGAUUUAUCGCCUUUGGAUGGGCCCGCGUUGGAUUAGCUAGUUGGUAGGGUAAAAGCCUACCAAGGCGACGAUCCAUAGCUGGUCUGAGAGGAUGAUCAGCCACACUGGGACUGAGACACGGCCCAGACUCCUACGGGAGGCGGCAGUGGGGAAUAUUGGAAAAGGGGCAAAAGCCUGAUCCAGCAAUGCCGGGUGGGUGAUGAAGGCCUUAGGGUUGUAAAGCCCUUUUCCCCGGGAUGAUAAUGACAGUACCGGGAAAAUAAGCCCCGGCUAACCCCGU
RNAcentral lists this ribosomal RNA (432 nucleotides) under uncultured bacterium. Its description in RNAcentral is "partial 16S ribosomal RNA". It matches the Rfam family "Bacterial small subunit ribosomal RNA", at positions 29 to 506 of the family's 1533-position model. The record is from RNAcentral.